This 253-nucleotide ribosomal RNA is filed under the name uncultured bacterium. RNAcentral's name for it is "partial 16S ribosomal RNA". It matches the Rfam family "Bacterial small subunit ribosomal RNA", at positions 524 to 776 of the family's 1533-position model. The record is from RNAcentral.
GACGUAGGGCGCGAGCGUUGUCCGGAUUUAUUGGGCGUAAAGAGCGUGUAGGCGGCCAGGUAGGUCCGUUGUGAAAACUCGAGGCUCAACCUCGAGACGUCGGCGGAAACCCUCUGGCUAGAGUCCGGAAGAGGAGAGUGGAAUUCCUGGUGUAGCGGUGAAAUGCGCAGAUAUCAGGAAGAACACCCGUGGCGAAGGCGGCUCUCUGGGACGGUACUGACGCUGAGACGCGAAAGCGUGGGGAGCAAACAGG